This is a long non-coding RNA of Epinephelus moara (kelp grouper), 290 nucleotides long. RefSeq lists it as uncharacterized. The transcript has 3 exons. The record is from RefSeq and is a predicted model, not a curated record. Lineage: Eukaryota; Metazoa; Chordata; Actinopteri; Perciformes; Serranidae.
AUUUCUUGGGUUCAGUCUGGUUCAGUUGUGUGGCUUGGUAGGUGCUGACAGAAGUGACUGUGUUUGUUGCUUCACUUGGCCUAUAACUGUGGCUGGAGCCAUGGGGUUUCUUUUGGGAUGGUUGCUGUUGUCCUUGCUAGCUAUUGGAAGACAAACAAAUGCUGAUGGUAUUGGAUCUGCUGGGAAGUAUGGAGAUAAUGAAGUGCCAGUUGGAGGCUAUCGACCAGAUUCAAGUGGCUUCAACACUGGAGAUGGAUCUUCAUGGAGCAAUGGACUACUUCCUAGUGGUG